GAGUUUGAUCCUGGCUCAGGAUGAACGCUGGCGGCGUGCUUAACACAUGCAAGUCGAACGAAGCACUUAAGAAAGAUUCUUCGGAUGAAAGCUUUUGUGACUGAGUGGCGGACGGGUGAGUAACGCGUGGGUAACCUGCCUCACACAGGGGGAUAACAGUUGGAAACGACCGCUAAUACCGCAUAACCCGCUGGUACCGCAUGGUACUGACGGAAAAGAUUUAUCGGUGUGAGAUGGACCCGCGUCUGAUUAGCCAGUUGGCAGGGUAACGGCCUACCAAAGCGACGAUCAGUAGCCGGCCUGAGAGGGUGAACGGCCACAUUGGGACUGAGACACGGCCCAAACUCCUACGGGAGGCAGCAGUGGAGAAUAUUGCACAAUGGGGGAAACCCUGAUGCAGCGACGCCGCGUGAGUGAGGAAG
RNAcentral lists this ribosomal RNA (422 nucleotides) under uncultured bacterium. RNAcentral's name for it is "bacterial SSU rRNA". It matches the Rfam family "Bacterial small subunit ribosomal RNA", at positions 9 to 413 of the family's 1533-position model. The record is from RNAcentral.